AGUGAACGCUGGCGGUAGGCCUAACACAUGCAAGUCGAACGGCAGCACAGUAAGAGCUUGCUCUUACGGGUGGCGAGUGGCGGACGGGUGAGGAAUACAUCGGAAUCUACUUUAUCUUGGGGGAUAACGUAGGGAAACUUACGCUAAUACCGCAUACGACCUACGGGUGAAAGCAGGGGAUCUUCGGACCUUGCGCGAUUGAAUGAGCCGAUGUCGGAUUAGCUAGUUGGCGGGGUAAAGGCCCACCAAGGCGACGAUCCGUAGCUGGUCUGAGAGGAUGAUCAGCCACACUGGAACUGAGACACGGUCCAGACUCCUACGGGAGGCAGCAGUGGGGAAUAUUGGACAAUGGGCGCAGGCCUGAUCCAGCCAUACCGCGUGGGUGAAGAAGGCCUUCGGGUUGUAAAGCCCUUUUGUUGGGAAAGAAAAGCAGCAGGUUAAUACCCCGCUGUUCUGACGGUACCCAAAGAAUAAGCACCGGCUAACUUCGUG
RNAcentral lists this ribosomal RNA (492 nucleotides) under uncultured bacterium. RNAcentral's name for it is "partial 16S ribosomal RNA". It matches the Rfam family "Bacterial small subunit ribosomal RNA", at positions 29 to 507 of the family's 1533-position model. The record is from RNAcentral.